This 67-nucleotide transfer RNA is filed under the name Marmota monax (woodchuck). RNAcentral's name for it is "tRNA.Undet". Lineage: Eukaryota; Metazoa; Chordata; Mammalia; Rodentia; Sciuridae. The record is from RNAcentral.
GGCAUGUAGCUCAGGGGUAGAGCCCUUGCCUAGCAGCUACAGGCCCUGGGUUCCAUUCCCAGCACCA